This 363-nucleotide ribosomal RNA is filed under the name Vibrio sp. WMB20. Its description in RNAcentral is "SSU rRNA". It matches the Rfam family "Bacterial small subunit ribosomal RNA", at positions 375 to 730 of the family's 1533-position model. Lineage: Bacteria; Pseudomonadati; Pseudomonadota; Gammaproteobacteria; Vibrionales; Vibrionaceae. The record is from RNAcentral.
GCGCAAGCCUGAUGCAGCCAUGGCGCGUGUAUGAAGAAGGCCUUCGGGUUGUAAAGUACUUUCAGCGGGGAGGAAGGCGAUAAGGUUAAUAACCUUGUCGAUUGACGUUACCCGCAGAAGAAGCACCGGCUAACUCCGUGCCAGCAGCCGCGGUAAUACGGAGGGUGCAUGCGUUAAUCGGAAUUACUGGGCGUAAAGCGCACGCAGGCGGUCUGUCAAGUCGGAUGUGAUAUCCCCGGGCUCAACCUGGGAACUGCAUUCGAAACUGGCAGGCUAGAGUCUUGUAGAGGGGGGUAGAAUUCCAGGAGUAGCGGUGAAAUGCGUAGAGAUCUGGAGGAAUACCGGUGGCGAAGGCCGCAUCCU